RNAcentral lists this ribosomal RNA (460 nucleotides) under uncultured bacterium. RNAcentral's name for it is "partial 16S ribosomal RNA". It matches the Rfam family "Bacterial small subunit ribosomal RNA", at positions 338 to 795 of the family's 1533-position model. The record is from RNAcentral.
CCUACGGGAGGCAGCAGUGAGGAAUAUUGGUCAAUGGACGAGAGUCUGAACCAGCCAAGUAGCGUGAAGGAUGACUGCCCUAUGGGUUGUAAACUUCUUUUAUAUGGGAAUAAAAUGUUCCACGUGUGGGAUUUUGUAUGUACCAUAUGAAUAAGGAUCGGCUAACUCCGUGCCAGCAGCCGCGGUAAUACGGAGGAUCCGAGCGUUAUCCGGAUUUAUUGGGUGUAAAGGGAGCGUAGGUGGAUUGUUAAGUCAGUUGUGAAAGUUUGCGGCUCAACCGUAAAAUUGCAGUUGAAACUGGCAGUCUUGAGUACAGUAGAGGUGGGCGGAAUUCGUGGUGUAGCGGUGAAAUGCUUAGAUAUCACGAAGAACUCCGGUUGCGAAGGCAGUUCACUGGACUGCAACUGACACUGAGGCUCGAAAGUGUGGGUAUCAAACAGGAUUAGAUACCCCUGUAGUC